AGUGUAAAAAAAAUUUUUUUUAUCGAACUGUAGAUAGGUGAUCAUUUAUCAAAUAUUGCUGUAAGCCUGUACUAUUUGAAUGUGUUAUGCUAGGUAUUGUGGAUAUACAGUGGUGAUUACAGCAUCUUUUUCUUGAGCUUUUAGUAGUUUAUUAUGAUUACAGAUGAACAAAAAAUCAGUUAAGGAAGAAAAUCAGUUUUUAUGCUGAAAAGUUUUACUCACAUAUUUCUGUUAGGUUUUUGGAAAACUUAAAUAUUGGUAAAAAUACGUUUUUAGGUAUACAUGUUUAGAAAUAGUUGUUUCAAGUUCAGAAAAAAAAAACCUUAUUGAGGUUGAUCAGCUAUUUACCUCGGAUCUAAAAGAAAAUUGGUAGGAACUGCAGUUGCCGUAGUUGUAUAUUAAAUUCUUAAUUUUUUUGGAUAAGCGGUGUCCUAGCAGGUUGUGGUUAAAAUGUAAGUAUUGCAUAAUGAGUCUGAUACUGUCUGUGAUAUGUGGUUAUGUUUCACUGUAUUCACGCCAUGUGUUUUGUCUAGCACAUCUCCAUAUAUUGAGAAGCGAUAGAGCAUUGUUCUGAAAUCAGAAAGAAAGUAAUAAUUAAUUCCAAGAAAAUCAGUGUGAAGUCAGGUAUAAAAGGAAUGUAAUAUGUUCACCUUUAAUUGUUUCAAGUUAAUAGUCAAGCUUCCUGCAUGUGUAAUUUUAUGUAACAGUGAGAUUCCUAAGAAAAUGUGAACCAAAGAAUUGAAACAUACUUAUUUUUUGUAGUUGCUUUGAAUUACGGAAUUUAUAAGCAGGAUCUCCCAAGCCUGGAUGAGAAACCUCGGAUAGUGGUUUUUGUUGAUAUGGGACAUUCAGCUUUUCAAGUGUCUGCUUGUGCUUUUAACAAGGGAAAAUUGAAGGUAAAGUCAUACAUUGGAACUCAGUGUCCAACACACGUUAAGUGUUGUGACUUUAAGCUACUGAGCCUCUCUACUAGGCUUUUUCUUCUUGGUAAUGAAGAGUUUUAUUUUAGAUAAAGAUGUUAACAAGAAACAGUUGCUAAGGUUGAGCUCCAUAAAGAUGAUGUAAUUGUCUUAGCAUACUCCUAAGUGUUAUUUAGGAAAGAAAAGGCUUUUUACAGUUAUUUUCUAUGUAGUCAUUUAAAAGUCAAAAAUAUCUUAGAGAUUUAUUCCUGACUGAUUUGGAUUUCAUGUUAUAAUUUAAAUAUAGUCUUGAGUCUCUUGGUCUUUGAUUGUUUGAGUAGUAAUAUUUAAGAUUCUAGUUACAAAUGUGAUUGAAAAUAACCAGACUAUUUGUUGUUUCAACCAAAUUAGGUACUGGGAACAGCUUUUGAUCCUUUCUUAGGAGGAAAAAACUUCGAUGAAAAGUUAGUGGAACAUUUUUGUGCAGAAUUUAAAACUAAGUACAAGUUGGAUGCAAAAUCCAAAAUACGAGCACUACUACGUCUGUAUCAGGAAUGUGAAAAACUGAAAAAACUAAUGAGCUCUAACAGCACAGACCUUCCACUGAAUAUCGAAUGCUUCAUGAAUGAUAAAGAUGUUUCCGGAAAGAUGAACAGGUCACAAUUUGAAGAACUCUGUGCUGAACUUCUGCAAAAGAUAGAAGUACCCCUUUAUUCACUGUUGGAACAAACUCAUCUCAAAGUAGAAGAUGUGAGUGCAGUUGAGAUUGUUGGAGGCGCUACACGAAUUCCAGCUGUGAAGGAAAGAAUUGCCAAAUUCUUUGGAAAAGAUAUUAGCACAACACUCAAUGCAGAUGAAGCAGUAGCCAGAGGAUGUGCAUUACAGUGUGCAAUACUUUCCCCGGCAUUUAAAGUUAGAGAAUUUUCCGUCACAGAUGCAGUUCCUUUUCCAAUAUCUCUAAUCUGGAACCAUGAUUCAGAAGAUACUGAAGGUGUUCAUGAAGUGUUUAGUCGAAACCAUGCUGCUCCUUUCUCCAAAGUUCUCACCUUUCUGAGAAGGGGGCCUUUUGAGCUAGAAGCUUUCUAUUCUGAUCCCCAAGGAGUUCCAUAUCCAGAAGCAAAAAUAGGCCGCUUUGUAGUUCAGAAUGUUUCUGCACAGAAAGAUGGAGAAAAAUCUAGAGUAAAAGUCAAAGUGCGAGUCAACACCCAUGGCAUUUUCACCAUCUCUACGGCAUCUAUGGUGGAGAAAGUCCCAACUGAGGAGAAUGAAAUGUCUUCGGAAGCUGACAUGGAGUGUCUGAAUCAGCGACCACCAGAAAACCCAGACACUGAUAAAAAUGUCCAGCAAGACAACAGUGAAGCUGGAACACAGCCCCAGGUACAAACUGAUGCUCAACAAACCUCACAGUCUCCCCCUUCACCUGAACUUACCUCAGAAGAAAACAAAAUCCCAGAUGCUGACAAAGCAAAUGAAAAAAAGGUUGACCAGCCUCCAGAAGCUAAAAAGCCCAAAAUAAAGGUGGUGAAUGUUGAGCUGCCUAUUGAAGCCAACUUGGUCUGGCAGUUAGGGAAAGACCUUCUUAACAUGUAUAUUGAGACAGAGGUAAGUACUUCAAUUAAAUAUUUUUAUUUUGAAAUAUAUUUAGUUUCUUGGCCCUGAUAUCUAUAUUUCUAGUAGAUAAAUGGCCAUAAUUCUUUCUCAUCCCAGGUUUUAUAUAGUUUUAGGGAUAGGAUGAAGCCAAAACUAACGAAUUUUGCAGUUUAAUUUUUUUUAACAAAAAAAAUCAUUCUGCUUGAUAGAUCAUUCUGCUUGAUAUAACAUGAUUGAGUUCUUGUGAAAAAAUUGGAUGGCAGUAAAUCAUAACAGAACACAGUACAGUUGGAAUUUCACGGCACACUAAAUAUUUCUAUUAAAAUACAUUGUGUUUUUUUAGUAGUCUGAAAUUCUAGAAUAAUAUGUGAAAUAAUUGAGAUUUGGUUUUUCCAUACUGAGGUGGGAACAUUGUAUUUAGGAGUUUAUUUAACAAUAAACUGUAGUUCAUUUAUUUAUCUUUGAUUUAAAAAUGUGGCAGAGUGGUGUGACUGUUAUACAUUGGCCAGUAUUAAUCUGAAUAUGGAUAACCAUUUAUAUACAAGAAAACAAAAAUACAUUUAAGCAGUAGCUUUUUUUUUUUUUUUUUAGCAUUAAAUAUGAAGUCUGUGUAAUCUGUUACAAUGUUAAAAAAAUCAAACUUCAGCCUGAAUAUUUAGAAAAUGGAAAUGUCUGUUUGGUUUGUAGGAAGAGUCUGACGAGGUAUAAAUUGGAACUGUGUUAACACUAAAAUUUGUUUUGUAUCAUUUUUUUUUAAACCCCAGAGUCUACAUAUUUAAAAUUGAGCUUAAGUUAACUAGAAGACUGGAAUUAACCUUUCUUGUUUCCUGACAGGGUAAGAUGAUAAUGCAAGAUAAAUUGGAAAAAGAAAGGAAUGAUGCUAAAAAUGCAGUUGAGGAAUAUGUGUAUGAGUUCAGAGACAAGCUGUGUGGACCAUAUGAAAAAUUUAUAUGUGAGCAGGAUCAUCAAAAUUUUUUGAGACUCCUCACAGAAACUGAAGACUGGCUGUAUGAAGAAGGAGAGGACCAAGCUAAACAAGCAUAUGUUGACAAGUUGGAAGAAUUAAUGAAAAUUGGCACUCCAGUUAAAGUUCGGUUUCAGGAAGCUGAAGAACGGCCAAAAAUGUUUGAAGAACUAGGACAGAGGCUGCAGCACUAUGCCAAGAUAGCAGCUGACUUCAGAAAUAAGGAUGAGAAAUACAACCAUAUUGAUGAGUCUGAAAUGAAAAAAGUUGAGAAGUCUGUUAAUGAAGUGAUGGAAUGGAUGAAUAACGUCAUGAAUGCUCAGGCUAAAAAGAGUCUUGAUCAGGAUCCAGUUGUACGUGCUCAGGAAAUUAAAACAAAAAUCAAGGAAUUGAACAACACAUGUGAACCCGUUGUAACACAACCGAAACCAAAAAUUGAAUCACCCAAACUGGAAAGAACUCCAAAUGGCCCAAAUAUUGAUAAAAAGGAAGAAGAUUUAGAAGACAAAAACAAUUUUGGUGCUGAACCUCCACAUCAGAAUGGUGAAUGUUACCCUAAUGAGAAAAAUUCUGUUAAUAUGGACUUGGACUAGAUAACCUUAAAUUGGCCUAUUCCUUCAAUUAAUAAAAUAUUUUUGCCAUAGUAUGUGACUCUACAUAACAUACUGAAACUAUUUAUAUUUUCUUUUUUAAGGAUGUUUAGAAAUUUUGUGUAUUAUAUGGAAAAAGAAAAAAAGCUUAAGUCUGUAGUCUUUAUGAUCCUAAAAGGGAAAAUUGCCUUGGUAACUUUCAGAUUCCUGUGGAAUUGUGAAUUCAUACUAAGCUUUCUGUGCAGUCUCACCAUUUGCAUCACUGAGGAUGAAACUGACUUUUGUCUUUUGGAGAAAAAAACUGUACUGCUUGUUCAAGAGGGCUGUGAUUGAAAUCUUUAAGCAUU
RNAcentral lists this small RNA (4390 nucleotides) under Pongo abelii (Sumatran orangutan). RNAcentral describes it as "retained intron". Lineage: Eukaryota; Metazoa; Chordata; Mammalia; Primates; Hominidae. The record is from RNAcentral.